AAAUAAAGACAUUGCAAGCUGUUCUACAUUAUGAUUUUAUUUGACCAUUUUAUUAGAAUCUCCCCUCUUAAAAGCCUCUUUGCGGUCAUUGUGGUGUGGGUUUCUUCCAUAGGAGUUUAAAUACCUGAAUGCAUAUCAGAAAUAUCAUCAUCCAUAUUCAUGGAACUCGCUGCAAUCUGCUCUAAUAAGGCUGGUAUGAAACCUCCACCUUAGUGCACACGUUUGGUGUGGAGUUCAUUGUAUUCAUCAGCGAACUGAAAUUUAUAGGAUUUUUCUUGGCCCAGUAAUCCCGCUCUGGAUUUGGCUCCAGAUGUCUUUCGCUGUUUUCCGGUUGUAGUUAAUCUUUUUGCGUUUUCAUGAGAACAAUAUAUUAGUCUUCUUCUAAAAAAAAAAAAAAACCAACAAUGAAUGAAACUCUAAUUACACCGAGAAACGAGCUGCGUUUCCAUGAGUCAAGGAUACCUUAUACCUACAAAGCACAAAUGCAAAGUCAAGUCCUUAAAUUCCCGCUUAAGGAAAACAAGUUCAACUCCCAGGCGCGGGGCAUAAAAGUGAUUUUUUUUGUCCUUCUCCUCCCCACCCCUGUUUGCACAAUGACUUUUUUCUCGCAGUGUCCGAAAGCAACACACUGAUGUCGAGGACAAAGGAAUCUCGAAGAUGCCGUUGGUGAUGUGGUGCAUGUAUUUGGUGUAAAUACAUUUCGGAAGGCGGUUUUUUAAUUAUUAUUAAUUGGGGGGGUAUUAUGUUUGAGGUUUCCAAGCUGGAUGCUCUCCUGCUUUCUGAUAUGGAACGAUGGGAUUGUGCAUAUGGAAGAGGGCGGGGGGUGGGACAAAGAAGUGCGGGGAGGGGGGGAAGAACCCCCCCAGUAGCGAAGAAACAGCACAUUAUAUUCCCAUCCAUAGAGCGUGUUCUUGUAAAAUUCUCAUCCUUGCUUUUAAAUACAACCCUGUUGAAUGAAAACCCCUUUGAUGGUGUCUUCUGAUUUUAUUUGACAACGGUAGGGGGAAAAAAAAUGAUAAACCCACAAAAACGCUCUUCGUUUGCACCCAUUCAACCCGCCCUCCGUACUCCCCCCGCGCAAUUAAACACAAACCAACUCCAAGCUUUCGUGAUAGACCCGUGGUUGCACCACUAUAUGAUCUUGAAAGGAUGUUCAGAGGCAUGUUUCUCAUUAAAAGAGUGGGAAAGGAGGGAAAAAGGGGGCUUGGAGGAUGGUAGACAGCUUCUUUAGUUCCUUAUAUUUAUUUUUGCAAAGCCCGAGAACUGAAAGGACGCUUGUCCCCGGCCUAAAAUCUCUCCUAAGCCUUAUAUUCAAUAAACUAGGCGUAAAAACUGGGGGGGUUUUGGUGGGUUGCAAAGUGAAAUAGGCGAGAUGAAGGUAGGAGCCAUCUUCCUGGCAGACGUAGCUGCACGCCGGGAGCGAGGAAGGGGCUUAUCCUCCAGCACCCAAAAAAAAGAGGGAAAAAAGCACCUUUAUUUAAUGAGUGUUUGCCAAACCUUCCCAAGGUUAGGAAAACUAAAGAGAGGUGCAAUAAGGUGAAUAUCGGGAGGUCAGAAGCGGCAGUUAAUGCUCCGUAACAG
This is a long non-coding RNA of Strigops habroptila (Kakapo), 1581 nucleotides long. Lineage: Eukaryota; Metazoa; Chordata; Aves; Psittaciformes; Psittacidae. The record is from Ensembl.